GCGGGCAUCGUAUAGUGGCUAUUAUGCAACCUUGCCAAGGUUGAGACGGCAGUUCGAUUCUGCUUGCCCGCUCCA
This 75-nucleotide transfer RNA is filed under the name Parcubacteria group bacterium ADurb.Bin216. RNAcentral's name for it is "tRNA-Gly". It matches the Rfam family "tRNA". Rfam says of the family: Transfer RNA (tRNA) molecules are approximately 80 nucleotides in length. Their secondary structure includes four short double-helical elements and three loops (D, anti-codon, and T loops). The record is from RNAcentral. RNAcentral also lists the same sequence under 3 other names.